Molecule: ribosomal RNA, 586 nt
Filed under: uncultured bacterium
Lineage: Bacteria
Description: bacterial SSU rRNA
Rfam family: Bacterial small subunit ribosomal RNA
Source: RNAcentral
CCUACGGGAGGCAGCAGUGGGGAAUUUUGGACAAUGGGCGCAAGCCUGAUCCAGCAAUGCCGCGUGCAGGAUGAAGGCCUUCGGGUUGUAAACUGCUUUUGUACGGAACGAAACGGCGAGCUCUAAUAAAGUUUGCUAAUGACGGUACCGUAAGAAUAAGCACCGGCUAACUACGUGCCAGCAGCCGCGGUAAUACGUAGGGUGCGAGCGUUAAUCGGAAUUACUGGGCGUAAAGCGUGCGCAGGCGGUUAUAUAAGACAGAUGUGAAAUCCCCGGGCUCAACCUGGGACCUGCAUUUGUGACUGUAUAGCUAGAGUACGGUAGAGGGGGAUGGAAUUCCGCGUGUAGCAGUGAAAUGCGUAGAUAUGCGGAGGAACACCGAUGGCGAAGGCAAUCCCCUGGACCUGUACUGACGCUCAUGCACGAAAGCGUGGGGAGCAAACAGGAUUAGAUACCCUGGUAGUCCACGCCCUAAACGAUGUCAACUGGUUGUUGGGUCUUCACUGACUCAGUAACGAAGCUAACGCGUGAAGUUGACCGCCUGGGGAGUACGGCCGCAAGGUUGAAACUCAAAUGAAAUUGACGG